GAUAAACGCUGGCGGCGUGCCUAAUACAUGCAAGUCGAGCGAACGGACGAGAAGCUUGCUUCUCUGAUGUUAGCGGCGGACGGGUGAGUAACACGUGGAUAACCUACCUAUAAGACUGGGAUAACUUCGGGAAACCGGAGCUAAUACCGGAUAAUAUUUUGAACCGCAUGGUUCAAAAGUGAAAGACGGUCUUGCUGUCACUUAUAGAUGGAUCCGCGCUGCAUUAGCUAGUUGGUAAGGUAACGGCUUACCAAGGCAACGAUGCAUAGCCGACCUGAGAGGGUGAUCGGCCACACUGGAACUGAGACACGGUCCAGACUCCUACGGGAGGCAGCAGUAGGGAAUCUUCCGCAAUGGGCGAAAGCCUGACGGAGCAACGCCGCGUGAGUGAUGAAGGUCUUCGGAUCGUAAAACUCUGUUAUUAGGGAAGAACAUAUGUGUAAGUAACUGUGCACAUCUUGACGGUACCUAAUCAGAAAGCCACAGCUAACUACGUGCCAGCAGCCGCGGUAAUACGUAGGUGGNCAGCGUUAUCCGGAAUUAUUGGGCGGAAAAGCGCGCGUAGGCGGUUUUUUAGUCUGAUGUGAAAGCCCACGGCUCAACCGUGGAGGGUCAUUGGAAACUGGAAAACUUGAGUGCAGAAGAGGAAAGUGGAAUUCCAUGUGUAGCGGUGAAAUGCGCAGAGAUAUGGAGGAACACCAGUGGCGAAGGCGACUUUCUGGUCUGUAACUGACGCUGAUGUGCGAAAGCGUGGGGAUCAAACAGGAUUAGAUACCCUGGUAGUCCACGCCGUAAACGAUGAGUGCUAAGUGUUAGGGGGUUUCCGCCCCUUAGUGCUGCAGCUAACGCAUUAAGCACUCCGCCUGGGGAGUACGACCGCAAGGUUGAAACUCAAAGGAAUUGACGGGGACCCGCACAAGCGGUGGAGCAUGUGGUUUAAUUCGAAGCAACGCGAAGAACCUUACCAAAUCUUGACAUCCUUUGACAACUCUAGAGAUAGAGCCUUCCCCUUCGGGGGACAAAGUGACAGGUGGUGCAUGGUUGUCGUCAGCUCGUGUCGUGAGAUGUUGGGUUAAGUCCCGCAACGAGCGCAACCCUUAAGCUUAGUUGCCAUCAUUAAGUUGGGCACUCUAAGUUGACUGCCGGUGACAAACCGGAGGAAGGUGGGGAUGACGUCAAAUCAUCAUGCCCCUUAUGAUUUGGGCUACACACGUGCUACAAUGGACAAUACAAAGGGCAGCGAAACCGCGAGGUCAAGCAAAUCCCAUAAAGUUGUUCUCAGUUCGGAUUGUAGUCUGCAACUCGACUACAUGAAGCUGGAAUCGCUAGUAAUCGUAGAUCAGCAUGCUAUGGCGAAUACGUUCCCGGGUCU
This 1372-nucleotide ribosomal RNA is filed under the name uncultured bacterium. RNAcentral's name for it is "bacterial SSU rRNA". It matches the Rfam family "Bacterial small subunit ribosomal RNA", at positions 28 to 1381 of the family's 1533-position model. The record is from RNAcentral.